UAUGUUUCAGCUAUGUACAUUCUUUAUCACUACCAAUAAUGAGAACUAACCUGAAUAGAAUAAUUGAGUUUCAGCUGCUACCUGUUCAACACCUUCAACCUAUUGCCUAUUAGCUUUACUGGAUUUGUGAACAGAUUGCCUCUAAUUUCUCCAAUUGACAAGGCACUAAAAAAACCUGAAAUCAGGUUUUGGAGCUAUUCUGGAAGAUAAGAAUGAAAAUUGAAGAUUUGGAUCAUUGAAGUUGGAACCUAAGACCCAUACAUACUAUAUAUAGUGCGUAGGUGCCAACAUAUGUGUUAGAAGUGGAGAUCUAAACACUCGGAAGUUUAGAAAAGAAGACCUUAUCACUUAUGGAUGACACCCACAACCCUAGAUGCUACCUAUGGUAUGUGGGUGCUAGCGUAAGUUUCAAAAAGUCAAAGUAUAUAGAGUUUCAAAAGUUCUUAAGAGGAAGGGCUCCUACGUGGGACCAUUUACGGUAUGUAGGUUCCACCUACAGCCCGUAGGUGUCCGAGUAAGUAGACACCAACCUCAGUUUUUCAUUUUUGUUCAGGAAUGGCUUCCUUGGGUUUCCUUAUAUUUUAUAAAUACGCUUUUGAUGUUGUUACUUAGUUUAUUCACUAUAUAUACUUAUAAAAAGAUAUUUGAUUCCAAGAUUCAAUUUUGAUCUUGGGAUUGCUUUGUAUUGAUUUUGGCUUUUUAUUCAUUGAUUAUUGAGAUAUUG
Molecule: long non-coding RNA, 724 nt
Organism: Capsicum annuum
Lineage: Eukaryota; Viridiplantae; Streptophyta; Magnoliopsida; Solanales; Solanaceae
Exons: 2
Source: RefSeq, a predicted model, not a curated record